AGUGAACGCUGGCGGUAGGCCUAACACAUGCAAGUCGAACGGCAGCGCAGUAAGAGCUUGCUCUUACGGGUGGCGAGUGGCGGACGGGUGAGGAAUACAUCGGAAUCUACUUUUUCGUGGGGGAUAACGUAGGGAAACUUACGCUCAUACCGCAUACGACCUACGGGUGAAAGCAGGGGAUCUUCGGACCUUGCGCGAUUGAAUGAGCCGAUGUCGGAUUAGCUAGUUGGCGGGGUAAAGGCCCACCAAGGCGACGAUCCGUAGCUGGUCUGAGAGGAUGAUCAGCCACACUGGAGCGGAGACACGGUCCAGACUCCUACGGGAGGCAGCAGUGGGGAAUAUUGGACAAUGGGCGCAAGCCUGAUCCAGCCAUACCGCGUGGGUGAAGAAGGCCUUCGGGUUGUAAAGCCCUUUUGUUGGGAAAGAAAAGCAGCAGGUUAAUACCCCGCUGUUCUGACGGUACCCAAAGAAUAAGCACCGGCUAACUUCGUG
Molecule: ribosomal RNA, 492 nt
Filed under: uncultured bacterium
Lineage: Bacteria
Description: partial 16S ribosomal RNA
Rfam family: Bacterial small subunit ribosomal RNA
Source: RNAcentral